Molecule: ribosomal RNA, 119 nt
Filed under: Hucho hucho (huchen)
Lineage: Eukaryota; Metazoa; Chordata; Actinopteri; Salmoniformes; Salmonidae
Source: RNAcentral
GCUUACGGCCAUACCAUCCAGAAUGCACCUGAUCUCGUCAGAUCUCGGAAGCUAAGCAGGGUCGGGCCUGGUUAGUACUUUGAUGGGAGACUGCCUGGGAAUACCAGGUGCUGUAAGCA